UGAAAUAGCUCAGUUGGUAGAGCAUGAGAUUCUUAAUCUCAGUGUUAUGGCUUUGAGCCCCAUGCUGGGCAAAA
Non-coding RNA from Podarcis lilfordi (Lilford's wall lizard), 74 nucleotides. Lineage: Eukaryota; Metazoa; Chordata; Lepidosauria; Squamata; Lacertidae. The record is from the annotation of a GenBank genome assembly.